Neopelma chrysocephalum (saffron-crested tyrant-manakin) is the source of this 2777-nucleotide long non-coding RNA. RefSeq lists it as uncharacterized. NCBI's taxonomy places the organism in Eukaryota, Metazoa, Chordata, Aves, Passeriformes, Pipridae. The record is from RefSeq and is a predicted model, not a curated record. The transcript is spliced from 2 exons.
CUCCAGAGGUCCCUUCCAACCCUGACAAUCCGUGAUUGUGUGGGGCAGUGCUGGAGAAAGGGGCACACACACCCCACGUGCCCCUCGUGCCCCCUGGGGCUGCGAGGGCAGGAUGGACACGGCCAACCCCCAGUGCCCGCCCUGGAGACAGCAAAGGUGUGACUGAGGGGGAAAGCAGUGGGGAAAAAUUACAGAAAUCAGUGCUAAAUGGGACAAAAAUAGAGUGAGGUGUGCACAGACCCUCCAUGAGAGGCAGGAGGUGAGGCCAGGACAUCCUGCCUGCUCCCAGGCUGGGACAGCACAUCCCGCAAAGCAGCCACACCCCUUGAUGGACAUCUCACAGUAAUGAGGACAGGACAGUUCAUUUCAAGUGCUCUGGUAAUAACAUUUUGGACAAAAUGGUCCCCCCAAGCAUUUUUGAAACACCAUUAGGACUGUGACUGUGUAACUGGGCAACUUGCUGAGGCAGAUACUGUCAAACAUUGGAAGGCCAAAAAACACGGAGUCUCUCAGCCUGGAAAGCCUUUCACUGUUGUACUUUGUGUAACCUGGAGCUUAAUUAGAGAAGUCACUGGAAAAUGACAACUAGAAAAACCUACAAACCAACAGUAAAAAAGAUGCAAGUCAGUGUUGACAACAGAAUACAAAAGCUGUUUUACUUCUCUCAAGAUGCAGCAUGUGGAAAAUGUGUCAGUAAUCCUGCACACUGGGUAAGCCUUGCACACACGUGUUGUGCUUCUGCAAGGUUUUAAAGGAGUAACCAUCAGAACAUGGUUCUGAGUGGUUUUUAAUUAUUAUUUUGUAUUUUUUUGUAUUUUCUUUCUUCAUGGUACAAAACAUUUGAGGGCAAUGCCAGAGGUUGGAUGAUAUUAAGCUAGACGUUUUUUGGGGGGGAUGAGCAAAGAGACAUCUCUCUUACACGUGCAUGGAGAGGAGGAGUAAUGCUGUAAGGUAUGUUGGUAUCUUAACUCUGUGAGGAAUUUGGAUGUGUUGCACUAAUUCUCGUGGCUUUUCCAACAGCUGCAGUUUGCAUUUACUGCAUCUCAUUUGAAAUCCUAAGUUGGAAGCCAAGUUCCAUGGGAAGGGGAAGGUUUAUGCAAUGAAGCAAGUCAUGCAACACUCAGAAACAGUUCCAUUUGAUGCAAGAUAUAGUUCUUGGGCUGUUGAGAAUAGAUGGGAGCUCUCACAGCCAUUCACUGCCCUUCUACAGCUAGGAAAAAUCUUGUGGAAUGUGAUAACUACGGGAGAAGCUGCCUUGUGGGCUGGGACACCUGUCACUGCAGACCUGUAACCUGUGAGCUACUUCUACAGGAUUAAAACAUAAUCUGAAACUGGCCCUGGCAAUCAGCAAGAGGGAGUAACAGAAUGUGGGCGUUAGUCAUGUUCUCUCUGCUGUUCAGAGGAGCAGGAAAACUGCACCAGCUGGGGCUCUUCCCAUCUUUGGCUUUGGGUGCAGUGAACUACAGCAGCCCAGCAGGAAGAAACACAUCCCUCAGCAGCACAGGAACUCAAAUGCUAAGUCCCAUCCUUUUAGGAAAGCAGCCAGGGCUAAGCAGAUUUGCCUUCUGGCCAGGGGCUUGAAGGUCAACAUUUCCCCCUCUGUUUUAGGGGAGUAUUGAGUGUAAUUUACCUUUAGUCACCUCAAUACCUGUUAUUCCAGCAUUUCCCAGAAGCAAGUCUCAUAAACCCAGUUUGUGAGGCUGCAUCAUUCCCAGACAGGUCAGAUUUCUUAGCUUUCUUCCAAGUACUUCAUCACAUGAAGGACUCGAGUUGAACGUGCAAAGGACUGUCCUUGCCCCUUCACAAUUGGUUGCUCAGGGAUAGAAUUUUUUUGUAUAAAAGAUGAAAAUUAAUGCACUUUAAUUCUUUACUUUUGCUCUAUAAAAUGUUUCUAAACACAACGUUUACCUUAAGUUUCCACUUUCAGAAGUUACAAAUGCACUCUUUACAAAGCAAUAGCCUUAGGAAGUGAACAAGUAGUUACAGCAGCAAACCAGUGCCUGAGCUAAAAAUAAAACCAGAAGCAGUCCCUUAGGGUAUCUGAAUAAUUUCUCUUUUUUACUUAUGUAGGGAAACAUUUAAAAAUGAUGGAGGGCAGGGUAACAUAAACUCAAGAGGAGGAACAGCAACAGUGGUUCUUUAAAAGGUUUUAGUAUUUUUAAGUUCUUUUCUCACAUUUCAAGGGAUCCUAAGCAUUGAUGUGAGUUCAUCCAGGUUUCAGAAGACUCCCAGAAGUUUAAACAAGUGCACUGGGAAGGUUUGUGUUUGUAAACAUUUAUUCUCUUGAACUGAAAAAGGCUUGCAUCAGCACACAUUGUACAGACUUGCAAAUUACACAGAUUGAAAAAAGGUUUGUUUCAUUUAUGUGCAAUGAAUCUUUAAUGUCCAGUGAGCAUCUGCAAAUGAUGAAAACUUAAACCAUUAAAAAGGUUUCCAGCACUUAUCAAACACAAUUAUCUUAGCGUGAAAAGGAAGAGAGAGAGAGCCAUACUGGUGGGGACACAAUUAAAGUGCAAACAUUUUGUCACUUGUGAAGAUACAUUUUAGUUUUCUUCACACUUUUGCUAAAAAGAAAUAUUAAAAUGUGAUUCAGUGAACAUUCUUUGUAACCCAUUCAUAUUCCCCUUUAAAUAAUUAUUAAACUUGCUGGAUCAGAAGCAAAUCCUUCGAGGGUACAACCCUGUAAUUUCUUUUGACAUUGUUUGAGUGAAUUGCAAAGGAAAAUGACCACCUAAGGAGUUAGUUACUAAAAUGAUUUUUUUUUUCCUUAAAAAAAA